RNAcentral lists this ribosomal RNA (459 nucleotides) under uncultured bacterium. RNAcentral's name for it is "partial 16S ribosomal RNA". It matches the Rfam family "Bacterial small subunit ribosomal RNA", at positions 338 to 795 of the family's 1533-position model. The record is from RNAcentral.
CCUACGGGUGGCAGCAGUGAGGAAUAUUGGUCAAUGGACGAGAGUCUGAACCAGCCAAGUAGCGUGAAGGAUGACUGCCCUAUGGGUUGUAAACUUCUUUUAUAUGGGAAUAAAAUGUUCCACGUGUGGGAUUUUGUAUGUACCAUAUGAAUAAGGAUCGGCUAACUCCGUGCCAGCAGCCGCGGUAAUACGGAGGAUCCGAGCGUUAUCCGGAUUUAUUGGGUUUAAAGGGAGCGUAGGUGGAUUGUUAAGUCAGUUGUGAAAGUUUGCGGCUCAACCGUAAAAUUGCAGUUGAAACUGGCAGUCUUGAGUACAGUAGAGGUGGGCGGAAGUCGUGGUGUAGCGGUGAAAUGCUUAGAUAUCACGAAGAACUCCGAUUGCGAAGGCAGUUCACUGGACUGCAACUGACACUGAGGCUCGAAAGUGUGGGUAUCAAACAGGAUUAGAUACCUAGUAGUC